Molecule: transfer RNA, 70 nt
Filed under: Poropuntius bantamensis
Lineage: Eukaryota; Metazoa; Chordata; Actinopteri; Cypriniformes; Cyprinidae
Description: tRNA-Arg
Rfam family: tRNA
About the family: Transfer RNA (tRNA) molecules are approximately 80 nucleotides in length. Their secondary structure includes four short double-helical elements and three loops (D, anti-codon, and T loops).
Source: RNAcentral
AGGGAACUAGUCCAAAGCAAGACCUCUGAUUUCGGCUCAGAAAAUCGUGGUUUAACUCCACGGCUCCCUU